GAUGAAGAACGUAGCGAAACGCGAUAAGUAGUGUGAAUUGCAGAAUUCAGUGAAUCAUCGAAUCUUUGAACGCACAUUGCGCCCCUUGGUAUUCCAUGGGGCAUGCCUGUUCGAGCGUCAUUUGUACCUUCAAGCUUUGCUUGGUGUUGGGUGUUUGUCCCUCGGGACUCGCCUUAAAGUCAUUGGCAGCCAGUGUUUUGGUUUUGAAGCGCAGCACAAGUCGCGAUUCAAGGCUAUCCGCCCGCUUCCACAAGCCUUUUUCACUUUUGACCUCGGAUCAGGUAGGGAUACCCGCUGAACUUAAGCAUAUCAAUAAGCGGAGGA
Molecule: unclassified non-coding RNA, 324 nt
Filed under: soil metagenome
Description: partial contains 5.8S ribosomal RNA, internal transcribed spacer 2, and large subunit ribosomal RNA
Rfam family: 5.8S ribosomal RNA (bases 1-120)
Source: RNAcentral